UGACCGCUGGCGGCGUGCCUACUACAUGCAAGUCGAGCGAACAGACGCGGAGCUUGCUCCUCUGACGUUAGCGGCGGACGGGUGAGUAACACGUGGAUAACCUACCUAUAAGACUGGGAUAACUUCGGGAAACCGGAGCUAAUACCGGAUAAUAUAUUGAACCGCAUGGUUCAAUAGUGAAAGACGGUUUUGCUGUCACUUAUAGAUGGAUCCGCGCCGCAUUAGCUAGUUGGUAAGGUAACGGCUUACCAAGGCAACGAUGCGUAGCCGACCUGAGAGGGUGAUCGGCCACACUGGAACUGAGACACGGUCCAGACUCCUACGGGAGGCAGCAGUAGGGAAUCUUCCGCAAUGGGCGAAAGCCUGACGGAGCAACGCCGCGUGAGUGAUGAAGGUCUUCGGAUCGUAAAACUCUGUUAUUAGGGAAGAACAAAUGUGUAAGUAACUAUGCACGUCUUGACGGUACCUAAUCAGAAAGCCACGGCUAACUACGUG
Molecule: ribosomal RNA, 495 nt
Filed under: uncultured bacterium
Lineage: Bacteria
Description: partial 16S ribosomal RNA
Rfam family: Bacterial small subunit ribosomal RNA
Source: RNAcentral